GAUGAACGCUAGCUACAGGCUUAACACAUGCAAGUCGAGGGGAAACGACAUCGAAAGCUUGCUUUUGAUGGGCGUCGACCGGCGCACGGGGGAGUAACGCGUAUCCAACCUGCCCACCACUUGGGAAUAACCUUGCGAAAGUAAGACUAAUACCCAAUGAUAUCCCACGAAGGCAUCCGAAUGGGAUUAAAGAUUUAUCGGUGAUGGAUGGGGAUGCGUCUGAUUAGCUUGUUGGCGGGGUAACGGCCCACCAAGGCGACGAUCAGUAGGGGUUCUGAGAGGAAGGUCCCCCACAUUGGAACUGAGACACGGUCCAAACUCCUACGGGAGGCAGCAGUGAGGAAUAUUGGUCAAUGGGCGAGAGCCUGAACCAGCCAAGUAGCGUGCAGGAUGACGGCCCUAUGGGUUGUAAACUGCUUUUAUAAGGGAAUAAAGUGAGUCUCGUGAGACUUUUUGCAUGUACCUUAUGAAUAAGGACCGGCUAAUUCCGUGCCAGCCGCCGCUGUAA
This 508-nucleotide ribosomal RNA is filed under the name uncultured bacterium. Its description in RNAcentral is "partial 16S ribosomal RNA". It matches the Rfam family "Bacterial small subunit ribosomal RNA", at positions 28 to 523 of the family's 1533-position model. The record is from RNAcentral.